GCAUACUGCCGUGAAUACGUUCCCGGGCCUUGUACACACCGCCCGUCACACCAUGAGAGUUGGGGAUACCCGAAGCCUGUGAGCUAACUUUUAGAGGCAGCGGUCGAAGGUAGAAUCAAUGAUUGGGGUGAAGUCGUAACAAGGUACC
RNAcentral lists this ribosomal RNA (148 nucleotides) under uncultured bacterium. RNAcentral describes it as "partial 16S ribosomal RNA". It matches the Rfam family "Bacterial small subunit ribosomal RNA", at positions 1352 to 1500 of the family's 1533-position model. The record is from RNAcentral.